This is a long non-coding RNA of Pipra filicauda (Wire-tailed manakin), 1439 nucleotides long. RefSeq lists it as uncharacterized. The transcript is spliced from 2 exons. NCBI's taxonomy places the organism in Eukaryota, Metazoa, Chordata, Aves, Passeriformes, Pipridae. The record is from RefSeq and is a predicted model, not a curated record.
CGUUUUAUUUCUUUCAGGGUCUGUCCCUCACUGGAUGCCAGACUGUCCUUCGGGAUAUAGCCCAGUGAGCAGGAGAAAAGUGUUUGAAUUUGGUAAAAUGGCCAUAAACAUAAAGAAAGAAACUGGAGCUGCUUCAUCAGUGCCAUAUCAUACUGUGGUUGGCCACAUGAAGAGGAUCAUAUUGAUGAAUUAGUGCAAUGACCCUCCCAGACAUGGAAGGAUACCUCUCACAAGAAAAUCCAUAGGUGACUAAUAGGUGGUCAAUAGUCUUUGAGAUCUGGGAGAAACAUUUUGGUGUAUCUGGAAAUCAAUCUAGAUCUGCCACUGUGGAUAUUUAGUCUUAAUUCAUGCUUUUCUACCACAUUUCAGAAUGUGUCCUGUGUCUGAACACCUUUGCUUUCUUGUUUGUUUGUUUUUUACGUUUGUCAGUCACUACACUACUUAGAAUCAAUUUAACACCCUUCCCUUGUGUGGAGUGGUUCCAGGGAGUGAUGAUUGCAGGAUUAGCCUGCUGGUAAUUAAAUGUUGCUGCCUCUUAGCUUGAAAAUGAAACAGCUCUAUGGAAUUUAGGAGUUUCUUGCUUUAUUUAGGUUGUUAUGUGUCUAAAUAGUAUGGAUAGGUGUACCAAGUCAGUGCAGACACAGUGCGAUCUUAAAAAAAUAAAUUAAAAAUGCAAAAAGAGAAGAGAAAGAAGGAGAGAAAGACAGAGAAGGAAAAGAACAAGAAACUAUGGGAAGGAAAACAAGUUCACUCAGCUCAUUAAGAUUUCGAAUUGCAUGGAAAAUUUUCCAGACUUAGCUGAAUCCUGAGUGUAAUUUCCUAAUUUUGGCUUCAUACAAUCCAGACAGAGUUUCAUGUCGGGACUCAUUUUCACUCGCAGAUGGGUCUUCAAAAUUUGCAGGUGGUAAGUUGUGUAAAAUAGGUCGUGUUGCCUGUUUGUUGAAGCCUGGAGGUAUCCCUGUUCCAGUAAAGCAAGGGCUGGGUUCCUUACCAUUUGUGGACUAAAGAACCCACUGAAUGCUUGCUUCUCAUAUUGGCUUUACCACUAUGAAGAGUUAUAUCUCCUGAAUUCACUGACUAAUGUUUUAAGCAGAAUUAAGCCUUUUUUAAUUUUAUUUUUUCUUAAAAUCUGCUAUCAAAAAUCACAGUAUUCCACCAUUCAAAGACAGUUCUUUGCUUCUUCAAAGACUUGUUAAACUGAUGUGUACCAUCCUCCUUACAGGACUGUAGUGGUGUAACCUCAUAUGAUACAAAUGAUGAGCUUCUAUUUGAAAUAAUAGGGAUGAUGCCUAAUCCUGGACAGUUCUGUCUGGCCUGUGUUAGGGUAAAGAUCAAGGCAUUUGACUGUCAUAAUUGAACCACAGCCUGAGCUUUUUACCUUGAGCUUUUGUUACAUUUAAGGAUUCAUGCUGAAUAACAAUAAUAAAAGAUGAAUCCCA